GAUCGUUCGUCCAACACGCACGGAUCGAUCGCAGCAGUGCGAUCGCUAUUAUUAUUUGAGUACACGACGUACAACUAACUAUUAUACGUAAGUAUGCUAUUGUAUGUGUGUGUGUGUAUACGUGUGUGUGUGUGUAUUUCUUUCAAUGUCGUGAGUUUGUAUCCGUCUUUCUCACUCCUAACUCCCACUCGCUCUUCUCUGUUUCCCUCCUUCACUGAACUCCUUUCUAGAGGAAGAGAGAGA
Molecule: long non-coding RNA, 243 nt
Organism: Vespa mandarinia (Asian giant hornet)
Lineage: Eukaryota; Metazoa; Arthropoda; Insecta; Hymenoptera; Vespidae
Source: RefSeq, a predicted model, not a curated record